GACGAACCGUGCGAACGUUGUUCGGAUUCACUGGGCUUAAAGGGCGCGUAGGCGGCAGGUCAAGUCCGGGGUGAAAGCCUUCAGCUCAACUGGAGAAGUGCCUUGGAUACUGGUCUGCUCGAGGGAGGUAGGGGCAUGUGGAACUUCCGGUGGAGCGGUGAAAUGCGUAGAUAUCGGAAGGAACGCCGGUGGCGAAAGCGACGUGCUGGACCUCUUCUGACGCUGAGGCGCGAAAGCUAGGGGAGCAAACGGG
This 253-nucleotide ribosomal RNA is filed under the name uncultured bacterium. RNAcentral describes it as "partial 16S ribosomal RNA". It matches the Rfam family "Bacterial small subunit ribosomal RNA", at positions 524 to 776 of the family's 1533-position model. The record is from RNAcentral.